AGUGGUAUAACUGGGUCAAAUGAUGGUUCCAUCCCAAAUUUUCUGAGGAAUCUCCAUACUGCUUUCCAGAGUGGUUCUACCAAUUUGCAAUCCCACCAGCAAU
This 103-nucleotide microRNA precursor is filed under the name Marmota monax (woodchuck). The record is from RNAcentral. Lineage: Eukaryota; Metazoa; Chordata; Mammalia; Rodentia; Sciuridae.